AGGCAAGGAUGGAGGGAGGGAGGAGGAGAGGAAGAGGGACAGCUAGGUAGAGGGAGGGAGGAAGAAGAGGACAGAAGGCUAAGCUGGCCGGCCGGGAGGCUUUCCCGGUUGGUGUGUUCUCGUCCCUCUACCACCACCACCACCACCACCACCACCACCCCACCCCACUCCUGGGAGCCACUGCCCUGGGGUGGGAUGGAGCAAUGGAGAGAUAGAAGGAUGAAGCGAGGGAGGAUGGCAACAGAGCGAGGACCCUCCGGAGGCGCAGCGCGAAUGACUUGAAAAGUACUGUGUAUGUGUGUGCGAGAGAGAGAGAGAGAGAGAGAGAGAGUUGUGUGUGUGUGAGUGUGUGUGUCCUUGGUAACGGUGGCGAAGCACUCGCCUGCCUGCCUGCCUGCCCGCCCGCCCGCCUGCUCUCAGCAGCAGCAGCCAGAGCCUGAGUCUGAGCCCCAGCCCCUCUGCAGCCUGUGCCUGAGCCCGAGCCCGCGCCGCCGCUGCCUGCGCGCAGUCCACCCCAACUCCGCAGUGAGCGGCGUGAGCGCCGGGCUGACUCCAGCCUGACCCCGCGGGGCCCCCGCCUUCUUCUUCCUCCUUCUCCUCCUUCUCUUCCUCCUCCUCCUCCUCCACCCACCCCCACCCCCGCUCCUAAGAGCGCCCACCACCCUGAAGAGGGCCGGGCCGGACCCGGGCCAGCCAGGCAGCCGGGAGGCGGCGGAGAAGGCGUCAGCUAGGAGCAAGACUAGAAUGGAGGGAAGAGGGAGGAGAUGAAGAUCUCGGGGCGCCGGGGCCCUCUCGCUAGCUCCCUAGCUCUCUGCCCUGCUCAACGCUCCCCCUCCCCAGGCCGGGACGGUUUGGCCAUUGCCCACUCUCAGGGUUGAGCCCGGGCCCCAGUUGCGCCCAGCCCUGCCUAACCCACGCCCUGGCCCAGCCACCGACUGGGGGAGCCUGGUUGCUGCCGCCGUCUGUGUCGGGGCUCGGGGAUGGGAAGAGACAGAGGAGGGGUAAGGUGGAGGGCAGCCGGCAAGAAAAGUCCGUAGUUGAGCUCCGGCGAGGUGAGAGAGGGCGCCUGGCUGCAGAGAGUGCAGAAGGGAGCAGAUCGGCCAGACAAUUUUUUUUUUCCUGGGGUGGGGGUAGAUGGUGGAUUUGGGCUUGUUGGGGCUAAAACCUCGAGCCCCGGGGGAACCCCGGCUGAUUCUGACGAGCGCACUGCUGCGUGACAAGCAUCUGCCAUCCAGCCCCAGAGCCUAGGAGGAGGAAAAGGAGAAGGCGCAGGAGCACGGGCCGGGCCUUGGUACCAGCGGCUCGGCCCCCACUCCCUCCCGGACCAGGGAAACAAAGCGGCGGCUUCCCCGCUCUGCCCCCUCUCCUUCGGCUCCAGGUGUUUCCUAGGUUUUGCUAGGUUAUGCAUCACCUAGAGAAGCAAAAGAUUUUCUCGGGUGCGGGGAACUUUGGAAUGUAUACCAGCAGCGUGCUGGGGCGGGGAUGUCGUGGACAACAUCGGCUGAGUCAUUCUCGCUGGUCCAGGAGUUCAACUCUGCCUUGACAGUAGGAUGCGUACAGCCAGCCCUGCCUUCUGCGAUGCCUAAUUAGAGCUGGUGCUUUCACCCAUUGGUUGUGCGACAGAAGCUGCUGCCUUCAAGGAGAAAGGGGGGGGGGGGAGGCCAGGGCAGGGCAAGAUGUCUCUUGCCUUGAUUUAAUCUAUUUCCAUGACUCGUGUUUUACUUUCUCCACCCCCCCCCUUCAUCCCAUUUAAAUGGAAAUCUCUGCCCUAAACAGCUGGCUUGACAUUACAGCCACCCCAGACCUGUUCUGAUGAGAUCACGUCGCCUACGGAGACCCCCACAGUGUGGUCGAUCCAAGGGGGCUUGCACAGCUGACGAAAACCUGGAAAGUUUGUGAAAGCGUGGCUUUCAGCAGUGAAGCUUCUGGGGAAGAAGGAGGCGAGGCCAGCCCUCCCUCCUGCUUCCCCACCCCUUCCACCCUCUGGAAAACUGGAAUGUAAUUGGAGAGUUGAGAGGGAGAAUAAAAGGGGCCAGUUUGCUUUUGAGUUGGGGCGGGGGAUAAGAGAAAACUUCCCCCUUUGUUCAUUUAUCCCCCCGCCCGCAGAUCUGGGCUGCCUGCCAUCCAGGACGUCUUUCUAUAUCUGGGUUUACUAUGGUUCAAUGUAGGUAUUACCAGGUGCCCAUCCUUAGCUAGGCAGAAAGCAAAGAUUUCUGUGGUUGGCUGGUGAGGUGGGUAAGCUUUCCCCACACCUUACAAUCCUCCUUUAACACCUGGGAAAAACCUUCCCAGAGAAAGACUGUCCAACAAAGACGCUUUAGUAAUGUGACUCAGGAUCAGGGCUCCCAUUAGCAUGAGUUUGGGUUGGUUUGUUUGUUUUUACAUUCUCAUUUGAGGGGCAGUCUCUCUACCAACUCAGUGAAUUCCACAGCCUGCAGUGCUUGUCCCCACCCCAAAUCCAGUUAAAAGACAGCAUGAGACUUCCAAAUUUGUUUGGACAUUAAAAUAUGAGGCUCCAUUCCUUUGAAGUAGCAUCGUCGAGAUGUCUUGAAAUGCAGCCCUUAGGUAACAUAGUUAAAGGUUCUAGAAGAUCAUGGUGGAGUGCAGUGUGACACCCAGGCCUGUGUUCUAAGGCUUGAUACACUCUCACAACUGAUUUAUGUACUUCUGCCAUCUUUUGAAGAUCCUCUAUCACUCUUCCUGCCCAAUAUAGGCCAAGCAUUUGUUAAUCACCUGCUAAGUGCCAGACACCAUACUAAGUGCUAGGAUACAAAGGCAAAAAUGAAAGCCUUUCCCCUCAACGUGCUUACAUUCUAUCAGGGAAUUAGCACACAGAUGGUCCUCUAACCCCACGACUACUUUCCUAGCACAACUGGUAGGCCAGGACCCCAGAGAAUUGUUGACCAUUAUUCUCUGCAGAAUUCUAGGUGUAACCCUAAGGGGUUGGGAUUGCUAGUAAUCACACACGAGCCCCUAACCCAUGGGCUUCCCAUCAGCCACCAGUCAGAUUCAAAAUACUUUUAAGGAAAGGUAUUCGCCAAGGUGUAUUGAGAACAGUGGUUAAAAAUAUUUUGUCUCCAAAUUUGAGCACGUCUCCCCUAACACGCAUUCUCACUGGAGGAGGACCACAGUCAUGAGGCUUGCACACAAAGGGAUAACUCCCAACUCCUAGUCAUUAGAUGUCCUUUUGUCCCUUGCUAGAGUCCUGGUAAAGUUCCCCUUACUGUAGCUCUCUUCUGGACUUCAAAGACUGGUGUCUUUCUAUAGUCCAUAGCUGGUAUUCUCUCUGCAUAACAGGUCCCACACUAAAGUGGUCCAACCCUUAGUUACCUGUCCUUCAGGAAGUAUCCUGUAUGACAGUGACUCUAUUUUUCCAUGUUUUUCCUCAGUAUAUCUCUCUCUGCUCCCAGAUGGAUAUGUAUUGUCUUCUACCAGUCUUCAAUAGUGGGAGAUGAGGGAGGAGAGCAUAACACUCACUCCCUCUGGGUUUACUACCCCACCCCCAUUCCCUUGUUUCUCUCCAAUAUGAAAGUGUAAAGGUUCUGCCUCCUCAAAGCCUUUCUAAUCCUAGAGUCUUCCACCAACGCUGGCCUAAGCCAACUGCUGACAUUUCUCUGAUGUUUAAAGGCCCCCAGCCAUGUGGUUACUUUGUGUAGUUAGCCAAUUAAUUCUUUCCUUUUUGAUCCAAAGGUAUUGGUACUCAUUAAAGUAAUGUGAACCAUC
Long non-coding RNA from Phascolarctos cinereus (koala), 3723 nucleotides. RefSeq lists it as uncharacterized. The record is from RefSeq and is a predicted model, not a curated record. Lineage: Eukaryota; Metazoa; Chordata; Mammalia; Diprotodontia; Phascolarctidae.